This 327-nucleotide ribosomal RNA is filed under the name Peribacillus frigoritolerans. RNAcentral's name for it is "bacterial SSU rRNA". It matches the Rfam family "Bacterial small subunit ribosomal RNA", at positions 1 to 318 of the family's 1533-position model. The record is from RNAcentral. Lineage: Bacteria; Bacillati; Bacillota; Bacilli; Caryophanales; Bacillaceae.
UCUUCGGAGAGUUUGAUCCUGGCUCAGGACGAACGCUGGCGGCGUGCCUAAUACAUGCAAGUCGAGCGAAUCGACGGGAGCUUGCUCCCUGAGAUUAGCGGCGGACGGGUGAGUAACACGUGGGCAACCUGCCUAUAAGACUGGGAUAACUUCGGGAAACCGGAGCUAAUACCGGAUACGUUCUUUUCUCGCAUGAGAGAAGAUGGAAAGACGGUUUACGCUGUCACUUAUAGAUGGGCCCGCGGCGCAUUAGCUAGUUGGUGAGGUAAUGGCUCACCAAGGCGACGAUGCGUAGCCGACCUGAGAGGGUGAUCGGCCACACUGGGA